Molecule: non-coding RNA, 326 nt
Organism: Xyrichtys novacula (pearly razorfish)
Lineage: Eukaryota; Metazoa; Chordata; Actinopteri; Labriformes; Labridae
Source: the annotation of a GenBank genome assembly
UUACUCAUGACUAUUAAGCCCAACAAAUAAGAACUGUAUGGGUUUUAAAUUGUACAUUUCCGUGGACCACUCUACUAUAAGCAGUGCGCGUUUUGCGAGGUGCAUGCAAUUCUCGGAGGACAUGCGUUUCUCGGCACAACACCGCUAACAACAACAACAACGAUCGCAAAAUGAACAACGAACAAGCGAAAACCACCGAAAAUGAAGAUUUGUUGCCAAAAAGAAAAGGAAAGUCAGUUAUCUGGAAUUAUUUCGGUUAAAAGAAGGAUGAUGUCGACCAAAACACGUCUUCUGUGUUCAUCUGUUGCCACAAUAACGUCCCAGCA